This 94-nucleotide transfer RNA is filed under the name Desulfovibrio sp. RNAcentral describes it as "tRNA-Sec". It matches the Rfam family "Selenocysteine transfer RNA". Lineage: Bacteria; Pseudomonadati; Thermodesulfobacteriota; Desulfovibrionia; Desulfovibrionales; Desulfovibrionaceae. The record is from RNAcentral.
GGAAGCGUUUCGUCACCGGUGUGACGCCUGGACUUCAAAUCCAGUGGGACGUCGCGAGGCGUCCGGUAGGUUCGACUCCUAUACGCUUCCGCCA